This 562-nucleotide long non-coding RNA is filed under the name Mytilus galloprovincialis (Mediterranean mussel). Lineage: Eukaryota; Metazoa; Mollusca; Bivalvia; Mytilida; Mytilidae. The record is from RNAcentral.
CAAUAUAAUAAUUAAAGAACCUUAGUGAGCACGCUCACAUACCCCACGUCCCCACAUUGUCAUUGGAGAAAUUAAAUAAGUAUAAGAAAAAAAAAUUGUAUAAGAAAAAAUACUGAAUAAUAAUUUCCUGUCAAUAUACACAUCUACAUAGUAUGUCCUAAUUAUCUACAAAAUUUCAUGAAAUUCUGUUGUGUGUUUUCAGAGGAGUUGAGAUGACAAACUGUUGCAGAAGUACAUUGAAGCAAAUAAGUUCAAAGGGGCAUAACUCCUAGAAAAAAAUUGAAUCGUAAUUUCCUGUUGAUAUGCACAUCUACGUAGUAUGUCCUUAUUAUCUAUAAAGUUUCAUGAAAUUCUGUUCUGUGGUUUCAGAAGAGUUGAGAUGACAAACUGUUGAAGUAGUACCUUAAAGCAAAUAAGUUCAAAGAGGCGUAACUCCUAGAAAAAAAAUUGAAUCGUGAUUUCCUGUCGAUAUGCACAUCUACAUAGUAUGUCCUUAUUAUCUGAAAAGGUUUCAUGAAAUUCUGUUAGGUAGUUUCAGAGGAGUUGCGAUGACAAACUGUUG